Molecule: ribosomal RNA, 461 nt
Filed under: uncultured bacterium
Lineage: Bacteria
Description: partial 16S ribosomal RNA
Rfam family: Bacterial small subunit ribosomal RNA
Source: RNAcentral
CCUACGGGCGCGCAGCAGUGAGGAAUAUUGGUCAAUGGGCGGAAGCCUGAACCAGCCAAGUCGCGUGAGGGAUUAAGGCCCUAUGGGUCGUAAACCUCUUUUGUCAGGGAGCAAGGUCGUCCACGUGUGGGCGUAUGGAGAGUACCUGAAGAAAAAGCAUCGGCUAACUCCGGGCCAGCAGCCGCGGUAAUACGGAUGAUGCGAGCGUUAUCCGGAUGUAUUGGGUUUAAAGGGUGCGUAGGCGGGACCUUAAGUCAGCGGUAAAAUUGCGGUGCUCAACGCCGUAGAGCCGUUGAAACGGGGGCUCUUGAGUGAGCGAGAAGUAUGCGGAAUGCGUGGUGUAGCGGUGAAAUGCAUAGAUAUCACGCAGAACCCCGAUUGCGAAGGCAGCAUACCGGCGCUCAACUGACGCUGAGGCACGAAAGUGCGGGUAUCGAACAGGAUUAGAUACCCUUGUAGUC